GUGCCAGCAGCCGCGGUAAUACGUAGGUGGCAAGCGUUGUCCGGAUUUAUUGGGCGUAAAGCGAGCGCAGGCGGUUUCUUAAGUCUGAUGUGAAAGCCCCCGGCUCAACCGGGGAGGGUCAUUGGAAACUGGGAGACUUGAGUGCAGAAGAGGAGAGUGGAAUUCCAUGUGUAGCGGUGAAAUGCGUAGAUAUAUGGAGGAACACCAGUGGCGAAGGCGGCUCUCUGGUCUGUAACUGACGCUGAGGCUCGAAAGCGUGGGGAGCGAACAGGAUUAGAUACCCUGGUAGUCCACGCCGUAAACGAUGAGUGCUAAGUGUUGGAGGGUUUCCGCCCUUCAGUGCUGCAGCAAACGCAUUAAGCACUCCGCCUGGGGAGUACGACCGCAAGGUUGAAACUCAAAGGAAUUGACGGGGGCCCGCACAAGCGGUGGAGCAUGUGGUUUAAUUCGAAGCAACGCGAAGAACCUUACCAGGUCUUGACAUCCUUUGACCACUCUAGAGAUAGAGCUUCCCCUUCGGGGGCAAAGUGACAGGUGGUGCAUGGUUGUCGUCAGCUCGUGUCGUGAGAUGUUGGGUUAAGUCCCGCAACGAGCGCAACCCUUAUUGUUAGUUGCCAUCAUUUAGUUGGGCACUCUAGCGAGACUGCCGGUGACAAACCG
This 660-nucleotide ribosomal RNA is filed under the name uncultured bacterium. RNAcentral describes it as "bacterial SSU rRNA". It matches the Rfam family "Bacterial small subunit ribosomal RNA", at positions 505 to 1165 of the family's 1533-position model. The record is from RNAcentral.